AGCAGCCGCGGUAAUUCCAGCUCCAAUAGCGUAUAUUAAAGUUGUUGCAGUUAAAAAGCUCGUAGUUGAAUUUCGGGGUUAGUAGGUUGGUCAUGCCUCUGGUAUGUACUGGUCUCACUGAUUCCUCCUUCCUUAUGAACCGUAAUGCCAUUAAUUUGGUGUUGCGGGGAAUUUGGACUGUUACUUUGAAAAAAUUUAGAGUGUUUAAAGCAAGCUAACGCUUGAAUACAUUAGCAUGGAAUAAUGAAAUAGGACGUUCGAUCUUAUUUUGUUGGUUUCUAGGAUUGACGUAAUGAUUAAUAGGGAUAGUUGGGGGCAUUAGUAUUCAAUUGUCAGAGGUGAAAUUCUUGGAUUUAUUGAAGACUAACUACUGCGAAAGCAUUUGCCAAGGAUGUUUUCAUUAAUCAAGAACGAAAGUUAGGGGAUCGAAGACGAUCAGAUACCGUCGUAGUCUUAACCAUAAACUAUGCCGACUAGGGAUCGGAUGAUGUUAAUUUUUUUAAUGACUCAUUCGGCGCCU
Molecule: ribosomal RNA, 520 nt
Filed under: uncultured Glomus
Lineage: Eukaryota; Fungi; Glomeromycota; Glomeromycetes; Glomerales; Glomeraceae
Description: SSU rRNA
Rfam family: Eukaryotic small subunit ribosomal RNA
Source: RNAcentral